AAAUCUUCGGAGGUAUCAGAUGGGCAUGCGUCCUAUUAGCUAGUUGGCGGGGUAACGGCCCACCAAGGCGAUGAUAGGUAGGGGUUCUGAGAGGAAGGUCCCCCACAUUGGAACUGAGACACGGUCCAAACUCCUACGGGAGGCAGCAGUGAGGAAUAUUGGUCAAUGGCCGGAAGGCUGAACCAGCCAAGUCGCGUGAGGGACGACUGCCCUAUGGGUUGUAAACCUCUUUUAUAAGGGAAGAAUAAAUGCUACGUGUAGCAUGAUGCCUGUACCUUAUGAAUAAGCAUCGGCUAACUCCGUGCCAGCAGCCGCGGUAAUACGGAGGAUGCGAGCGUUAUCCGGAUUUAUUGGGUUUAAAGGGUGCGUAGGCGGUUUUUUAAGUUAGUGGUUAAACGUCGGGGCUUCACCUUGAUUUGCCAUUAAUACUGUAAGACUCGAGUUCAGACGAGGUAGGCGGAAUAAGUUAAGUAGCGGUGAAAUGCUUAGAUAUAACUUAGAACUCCGAUAGCGAAGGCAGCUUACCAGACUGCGACUGACGCUGAAGCACGAGAGCGUGGGUAGCGAACAGGAUUAGAUACCCUGGUAGUCCACGCCGUAAACGAUGCUCACUGGUUCUGUGCGACAUACCGUAC
This 635-nucleotide ribosomal RNA is filed under the name uncultured bacterium. RNAcentral describes it as "bacterial SSU rRNA". It matches the Rfam family "Bacterial small subunit ribosomal RNA", at positions 202 to 842 of the family's 1533-position model. The record is from RNAcentral.